Molecule: ribosomal RNA, 492 nt
Filed under: uncultured bacterium
Lineage: Bacteria
Description: partial 16S ribosomal RNA
Rfam family: Bacterial small subunit ribosomal RNA
Source: RNAcentral
AGUGAACGCUGGCGGUAGGCCUAACACAUGCAAGUCGAACGGCAGCACAGUAAGAGCUUGCUCUUACGGGUGGCGAGUGGCGGACGGGUGAGGCAUACAUCGGAAUCUACUUUUUCGUGGGGGAUAACGUAGGGAAACUUACGCUAAUACCGCAUACGACCUACGGGUGAAAGCAGGGGAUCUUCGGACCUUGCGCGAUUGAAUGAGCCGAUGUCGGAUUAGCUAGUUGGCGGGGUAAAGGCCCACCAAGGCGACGAUCCGUAGCUGGUCUGAGAGGAUGAUCAGCCACACUGGAACUGAGACACGGUCCAGACUCCUACGGGAGGCAGCAGUGGGGAAUAUUGGACAAUGGGCGCAAGCCUGAUCCAGCCAUACCGCGUGGGUGAAGAAGGCCUUCGGGUUGUAAAGCCCUUUUGUUGGGAAAGAAAAGCAGCAGGUUAAUACCCCGCUGUUCUGACGGUACCCAAAGAAUAAGCAACGGCUAACUUCGUG